AGAGUCCUGAGCUGAACAAAGAAGGAGGAGGGGGUCGGGCCUCCGAGGAAGGCCUAGCCGCUGCUGCUGCCAGGAACUCCAGGUAGGAGGGGCGGCAACCUCCUGCCAGCCUUCAGGCCACUCUCCUGUGCCUGCCAGAGGAGACAGAGCUUGAGGAGAGCAGGAAAGGGCGGCAGUAAGUCUUCAGCAUCAGGCAUUUUGGGGUGACUCAGUAAAUGGUAGAUCUUGCUACCAAUGGAACAGCCACUAAGGAUUCUGCAGUGAGAGCAGAGGGCCAGCUAAGUGGUACUCUCCCAGAGACUGUCUGACUCAACGCCACCCCCUCCACCUUGGACACAGGACGCUGUGGUUUCUGAGCCAGGUACAAUGACUCCUUUCGCAGCCUCCCCCAUUGCCCCUCUGCAUCCACUGCUUAAAUACGGACGAGGACAGGGUUCUGUCUCCUCAGCCUCAGGCACCACCACUAACCUGGGACAGUGAAUCCAGCACAAACCCCUGCUUUCAAGGAGAGAUGAGCGUCUCUAAAGCCCCUGACAGCAAGAGCUCAGAACUGGGACACCACUGGUGACCCAGAUGGCAGGGUCAUUGCAGAUGUAAGU
This 599-nucleotide small RNA is filed under the name Pongo abelii (Sumatran orangutan). Its description in RNAcentral is "processed transcript". The record is from RNAcentral. Lineage: Eukaryota; Metazoa; Chordata; Mammalia; Primates; Hominidae.